AGUGAACGCUGGCGGUAGGCCUAACACAUGCAAGUCGAACGGCAACAGGUCUUCGGAUGCUGACGAGUGGCGAACGGGUGAGUAAUACAUCGGAACGUGCCCGAUCGUGGGGGAUAACGAAGCGAAAGCUUUGCUAAUACCGCAUACGAUCUACGGAUGAAAGCAGGGGACCGCAAGGCCUUGCGCGAACGGAGCGGCCGAUGGCAGAUUAGGUAGUUGGUGGGAUAAAAGCUUACCAAGCCGACGAUCUGUAGCUGGUCUGAGAGGACGACCAGCCACACUGGGACUGAGACACGGCCCAGACUCCUACGGGAGGCAGCAGUGGGGAAUUUUGGACAAUGGGCGAAAGCCUGAUCCAGCCAUGCCGCGUGCAGGAUGAAGGCCUUCGGGUUGUAAACUGCUUUUGUACGGAACGAAAAGACUCUGGUUAAUACCUGGGGUCCAUGACGGUACCGUAAGAAUAAGCACCGGCUAACUACGUGCCAGCCGCCGCCGUAA
RNAcentral lists this ribosomal RNA (498 nucleotides) under uncultured bacterium. Its description in RNAcentral is "partial 16S ribosomal RNA". It matches the Rfam family "Bacterial small subunit ribosomal RNA", at positions 29 to 523 of the family's 1533-position model. The record is from RNAcentral.